ACUGCUCAGUAACACGUGGACAACCUGCCUUUAGGUCGGGUAUAAACCCGGGAAACUGGGUAUAAUCCCCGAUAGGUCUCGGCUGCUGGAAUGCAUCGAGACUAAAAGCUCCGGCGCCUAAGGAUGGGUCUGCGGCCUAUCAGGUAGUAGUGGGUGUAGUGUACCUACUAGCCUACGACGGGUACGGGUUGUGAGAGCAAGAGCCCGGAGAUGGAUUCUGAGACACGAAUCCAGGCCCUACGGGGUGCAGCAGGCGCGAAAACUUUACAAUGCUGGCAACAGCGAUAAGGGAACCUCGAGUGCCAGGUUACAAAUCUGGCUGUCGAGAUGCCUAAAAAGCAUUUCAUAGCAAGGGCCGGGCAAGACCGGUGCCAGCCGCCGCGGUAACACCGGCGGCUCGAGUGGUAACCGUUAUUAUUGGGUCUAAAGGGUCUGUAGCCGGCCGGAUAAGUCUCUUGAGAAAUCUGGCAGCUUAACUGUCAGGCUUUCAGGAGAUACUGUCUGGCUCGAGGCCGGGAGAGGUGAGAGGUACUUCAGGGGUAGGGGUGAAAUCUUGUAAUCCUUGAAGGACCACCAGUGGCGAAGGCGUCUCACCAGAACGGACCUGACGGCAAGGGACGAAAGCUAGGGGCACGAACCGGAUUAGAUACCCGGGUAGUCCUAGCCGUAAACGAUACUCGCUAGGUGUCGGCCACGGUGCGACCGUUGUCGGUGCCGUAGGGAAGCCGUGAAGCGAGCCACCUGGGAAGUACGGCCGCAAGGCUGAAACUUAAAGGAAUUGGCGGGGGAGCAC
RNAcentral lists this ribosomal RNA (793 nucleotides) under uncultured archaeon. RNAcentral describes it as "bacterial SSU rRNA". It matches the Rfam family "Archaeal small subunit ribosomal RNA", at positions 85 to 879 of the family's 1478-position model. The record is from RNAcentral.